RNAcentral lists this ribosomal RNA (420 nucleotides) under bacterium. Its description in RNAcentral is "partial 16S ribosomal RNA". It matches the Rfam family "Bacterial small subunit ribosomal RNA", at positions 355 to 776 of the family's 1533-position model. The record is from RNAcentral.
UGGGGGAUAUUGCACAAUGGGCGAAAGCCUGAUGCAGCGACGCCGCGUGGGGGAUGAAGGCUUUCGGGUUGUAAACCUCUUUCGCUAUCGAACAAGGCCCGCUUAGGGUGGGUUGAGGCUAGGUGGAGAAGAAGCGCCGGCUAACUACGUGCCAGCAGCCGCGGUAAUACGUAGGGCGCGAGCGUUGUCCGGAAUUAUUGGGCGUAAAGGGCUUGUAGGCGGCUUGUUGCGCCUGCUGUGAAAACGCGGGGCUUAACUUCGCGCGUGCAGUGGGUACGGGCAGGCUUGAGUGUGGUAGGGGUGACUGGAAUUCCAGGUGUAGCGGUGGAAUGCGCAGAUAUCUGGAGGAACACCGAUGGCGAAGGCAGGUCACUGGGCCAUUACUGACGCUGAGGAGCGAAAGCAUGGGUAGCGAACAGG